Molecule: transfer RNA, 71 nt
Filed under: Agrilus planipennis (emerald ash borer)
Lineage: Eukaryota; Metazoa; Arthropoda; Insecta; Coleoptera; Buprestidae
Rfam family: tRNA
About the family: Transfer RNA (tRNA) molecules are approximately 80 nucleotides in length.
Source: Rfam by way of RNAcentral
CCUCUCGUAGCUUAGUGGUAGUGCAAUGGGGUGUGAAGCCGAGGUCCCGGGUUCGAUUCCCGCCGAGGGCA